Molecule: non-coding RNA, 3292 nt
Organism: Taeniopygia guttata (zebra finch)
Lineage: Eukaryota; Metazoa; Chordata; Aves; Passeriformes; Estrildidae
Source: RefSeq, a predicted model, not a curated record
AACCUGUGGAGUAAGGAUUUUGGCUAUGACCUAUAGGAGGCUACAGGAUAUGUGGAAUCCCCCAUCUUGCUGGAGAAGGAAAUACUCCCUCAUUUACAAUAAAUGGCAAAUAGGUUUGUUAGGUCAAAAAAUAAUUUGCUUUUCCUUCAUGAUGGUAACUGAUCGAGGAAGAUGCUGGAAGAUCUGCUUGGUUGCUGUGUAUCUUUCUUUCCUGCUACUGCAUUUAUAGUACUCACAGAAUAAUUUACUGCAAGUUUCAAUACCAAUCAUUUACCUAACCCUGUCAACAUUAACUGAGAAUAGAGAGAAAAUACGAUUUUGUUUUGCUCUUUCCGUGACCUGGCUGCUAGAGGACAUAAAAAUAUAUACUCUGAUUAUUAUGGUUUUUUUAUUAGUUUGUUUAUUUAUUCCUUUAUUUAUUUGAUAUCCCUAUAAACAAAGGACAUGUUUGCAUGACAGUAUUCUGGACAGUAUUCUGGACACCUGAAACAUGCUUAUCUUCAAUUAUUUUUUAAAUCAGAAAAUUGUUCUGUGUAACAAAAUGACUAAAGCUGACAGUUUGAUGGUGAAGAAAAAGCAAUUGGCUUAAAGAAGUUCUUUUGUAUGCCUAUGGAAAACCCAAGAGAAUGGCUGAUUUAUACCUCAGUCAAAUCACAUGCUGAUAAUUUAGGUAUCUCUGUCUUCUAGAAGUGUUAGGUUCGUGCUUCAACAUGCAAAGUGACAGCUAGAUUUUAACUUUAUUUAAUUUCCUGAAUGGAGACCUAAUUACUUGCCAAAACAAUAUUGAUGUUAGAUUAUGGACUAAUACUACCUUCUCUGAGGUACAGAUUUUUAGCAAAUAGGCAGGAGGUCUAAGAUCUCCUAUGAUAUCUUUUAAAAUGUUGCAUUCCCUUUUUCUCCCUUGCUGGCAUUUAUGCUCCCUCUCUUGACAGUGAGCUGGAAGUGACACUUACCAAAAUAACGUGACAAAGAUGUUUUCAAAACUGUCAUUUCCUCAUGAAAUCCCUUAUUUCUUCAGAUUUGAAGCUUUUCAUGCACAUUUUUAUUUACUGCUUUUGCAAUUAGAGCAUAAUAUUUCUGAGAGGUAACAGUGCAAGAAAAAUCUGGAGAUUAUCGGUUGCAAAUGUAGUUCUUGGUUUUACAAACACACAUUUUUUGAAAUCAAAAAGCAGUAUUAAAAUCUUACCCAAAUGCUGAUUUUGCAUUUAAACAGUCAAAUAAUAUACUUACAAUAUAAACUUCAUUUCCUACAUAUUAAUGAAUUGCAUUUUAAUGCAAUAGCAACAGGUUAGGUUAUAAUUUUCCAGGAGUUAAUACUUUGCUUCAUAAAAUUGGGCUUCAAGAAAACAUGUUUUUUUAUUGAAACUAUUUUUAUUGUAUGGACAGUUUUGCUUUCUCUAGAAGGCCUAGGAGAGAAUUUUGGAUGAUUAAAGUAGAGCUUCAAUUAAAAGUACAGAUAUGUUGAACAUGACUUAAAUGUUUUGGGUUUAAUUGGAUUUUUAAAAUUAUUUCAGGUUAAUUAUAUGUAACAGAGCUUGAUAGUAGCAAGAUUUAUGUAACCAUUCUGAUGAGAUAGUUCUCCUCAAGAAUACUAUUAAUGCUAUUCCCUGCUUCAGUGACAAUAUCUAUGGCUAUAAGAAUGUGUGUUUUAGAAUGUCUUCCAGCUUGAAGGAUGUGAUUCUAUGUGGAGCCUCUCUCUGUGUUAGCUCCCUUCAUGCAGGAUGGGAUGAAUCAGAAGAAGGAGAAUCUUUGGAUUCCAGACCUUGAGCUGCCAGCCAUAGGUUCCUGAAGCACCUUUACCAUCUGAAGUUUUGUCAUGUUGACUUAUUCUCUUAGAUUUAUCUGAAGACUGGUUGGUUAGUGUUAGUGAAAUAUUUGCGAAGUUCUAUUCUAGUUUCUAGGACAAGAGCAUUAUUUUGGUGACUUCUUUAAAAAUAUGCUUCCAUAUUUGAGUUUAUUUGCCUACACACACAAACACCAUGUAUAUUAUUGACAUUGCAUCCUAUAUAGAGUGAUCUAUAUUUUUAACAUCAAAACAGGGAUGGCAAAAAUACAAAAAUAUGUAUUUUUACGUAGUAUUGGCAGUUUUAAUUUAUGGAUGACACCUCCAAAUUGAAUAGAAAAAGGGACAUUUUCAGAAAAUAGUGAUGUCACAGUAAUAUAAUCUGCACAUUGGAUGUAAUAUUGUAUAUACUGCAUUGUAAAUAUUCCCUUCCAGGAGGAAUGGGAUAUCUAUAGGCACUUACCUAAAACUGUUAUUAAUUGUUAAUUUCUAGAGUAACUGAAUAUUGUUGCAAAGACAUUUUUUUAAGUCUCCAGGAUUGAACGAGUCAGCUGAAAAUAACUGUGUGACAUGCCUGAAACAGAUUCAGACAUCUCUGCUGAGCACAAGGAAAGACCUGAAUACCAGGAUUACAGAUCCCACAAAUCCCCUGCUCAGUUUUACAGAAGGAUCAGGCAGUUUAUGUAUGCAGUUAAUCUAUUUUCACUUCAGUGAAGCGAUUUGCAGCUGCAGCCCACUUCAUAGGCAGAUCAGAAACUACACUGCACUAUCUGUUUGGCCUGUACCAUUUUUCUUGGAAGGCUAAUUGUUUAGCUUAUGGCAUGUUUUAUUUGCUCAGGGUAUGCUUAGAAAUAACCAGAGCUCAGACAACGUAAACCUUACUCCUCGGUGGAAACUCAGCCGUGUCUGGGGCAAUUGGAAGAGCAGUUAGAGGAGCCCAGGCAUUACAAGUUUAGCCUGGGUGGUCUGUCCACACAUCUUUUGGGGACACUUUCACAGAUCCUGUUCAGAUGUUUUUUACAGCCAGUGCUUGAAAACCCUUCAGCUUACUCUGGCUGGAGAUGCAGAGGGGGACUCUCAGCAGGACAGGCAGGUGAAGCAGGUUUUCCAACUUGUCAUUAUCCAAAGUUAAGAGGAUAACAGCCUCCAAAACCACAGUGCCUCUUUAUUUUUUAAACAUCACUCUCAAGCCGUCUUAUUUCACAAAGAGCAGUUUCCUUUACUGCUGUCUAGUAUGUGCACAUAUCAAGGGCCAAGUCUGUCUCUACAUUUCAGGGAAAACAAACUCAGAGCCUGGCUGCUGGUAUGUAGCAUCUACAGUAGCUGAGUGGUCAUUUGGGAAACAUGUUCCAUAAGGUUUCAUAAAAUUGCAGAUGCUCUGAUGUUUUGCUGAGCUAGGACAAAGUUUGUUGGUGAAAUCAAUAAACUCUCAAGUUUUCAAGUCAUCAAAUGACUUGAAAAUGAGAAGGUUCUUCUUUUCUGAUGAAGAAAAUGUUCAAAUAUUUCAAA